UGAUUUCUGGAAGGGUAGUUCCGACCUGAUUGCAGACACGAUUUCUAAAGAUCCGUCCGUCAGAUCAAUCUCCAUUUUGGAUAUGUUGUAGAUCUCCGCGUUAGCUUUCCAGCGGUAGGUCGUGGGUCUAGAGAGAACGUCGGGAUCUUAAGAUAUCAGCCUCCGACUGAUGACUGCGCAGGGAAGGACGGGCUGAUAAUCCAACGGGAUGGAGUUGUU
Molecule: long non-coding RNA, 219 nt
Filed under: Phoenix dactylifera (date palm)
Lineage: Eukaryota; Viridiplantae; Streptophyta; Magnoliopsida; Arecales; Arecaceae
Description: long non-coding RNA (PDAC_LNC007126)
Source: RNAcentral